This 472-nucleotide ribosomal RNA is filed under the name uncultured bacterium. RNAcentral describes it as "bacterial SSU rRNA". It matches the Rfam family "Bacterial small subunit ribosomal RNA", at positions 1 to 474 of the family's 1533-position model. The record is from RNAcentral.
UAGAGUUUGAUCCUGGCUCAGAUUGAACGCUGGCGGCAUGCCUUACACAUGCAAGUCGAACGGCAGCACGGGGGCAACCCUGGUGGCGAGUGGCGAACGGGUGAGUAAUGCAUCGGAACGUGCCCAGUAGUGGGGGAUAACCAGUCGAAAGAUUGGCUAAUACCGCAUACGACCUUCGGGUGAAAGCGGGGGACCGCAAGGCCUCGCGCUAUUGGAGCGGCCGAUGUCUGAUUAGCUAGUUGGUGAGGUAAAGGCUCACCAAGGCGACGAUCAGUAGCUGGUCUGAGAGGACGGCCAGCCACACUGGGACUGAGACACGGCCCAGACUCCUACGGGAGGCAGCAGUGGGGAAUUUUGGACAAUGGGCGCAAGCCUGAUCCAGCCAUGCCGCGUGCGGGAAGAAGGCCUUCGGGUUGUAAACCGCUUUUGGCAGGAGCGAAACGGCGCCCCCUAAUACGGGGCGCUAAUGACG